This 170-nucleotide ribosomal RNA is filed under the name uncultured bacterium. Its description in RNAcentral is "partial 16S ribosomal RNA". It matches the Rfam family "Bacterial small subunit ribosomal RNA", at positions 118 to 286 of the family's 1533-position model. The record is from RNAcentral.
UGAAGAAUUUGUCCAACGGCGGGGGAUAGCCGGCCCAACGGCCGGGUAAUACCGCGUACGACCACUUUGGGACAUCCCUCGGUGGUGAAAGCAGCAAUGCGCCGAUGGAGUGCCUCGCGGCCUAUCAGCUAGUUGGUGAGGUAACGGCUCAACCCGAGCGACGACGGUAG